CCUACGGGAGGCAGCAGUGGGGGAUAUUGGACAAUGGGGGGAACCCUGAUCCAGCGACGCCGCGUGAGUGAAGAAGUAUUUCGGUAUGUAAAGCUCUGUCAGCCGGGAAGAAAGAAAUGACGGUACCUGACCAAGAAGCCCCGGCUAACUACGUGCCAGCAGCAGCGGUAAUACGUAGGGGGCACGCGUUUUCCGGAAUUACUGGGUGUAAAGGGAGCGUAGACGGUUAAGUAAGUCUGGAGGGAAAGGCCGGGGGCCAACCCCGGGACUGCUCUGGACACUAGUGAACGUGAGUUCAGGAGAGGUAAGCGGAAUUCCUAGUGUAGCGGUGAAAUGCGUAGAUAUUAGGAGGAACACCAGUGGCGAAGGCGGCUUACUGGACUGUAACUGACGUUGAGGCUCGAAAGCGUGGGGAGCAAACAGGAUUAGAUACCCUUGUAGUC
RNAcentral lists this ribosomal RNA (443 nucleotides) under uncultured bacterium. RNAcentral's name for it is "partial 16S ribosomal RNA". It matches the Rfam family "Bacterial small subunit ribosomal RNA", at positions 338 to 795 of the family's 1533-position model. The record is from RNAcentral.